UUCAACUUCUUCAUUUUCUCCAUAGCUUGUUCCCCAGAGACUGGUGGGAAGGAGUUUGGAAACAUCUGUGAUUGUCAGAAUGGAGGAACCUGUGAUCCUCUGACUGGGAGGUGCCAGUGCCCCCCUGGGGUGCAUGGGAAAACCUGUGAACACGGAUGCCCAAAAGGACUCUUCGGGAAGAACUGCAAAAGGAAAUGUAGCUGCGCCAACAAUGGCCAUUGCCACAGGGUGUACGGUGCCUGCGUGUGUGAUCCAGGGCGCUAUGGGAGGUUUUGUCAUCUGAACUGUCCCAAGGGGACCUACGGAGCUGGCUGCUCCUCAGAAUGCCAGUGUGUGGAGGACAACACCCUGGAAUGCAGCGCCAAAAAUGGCAGUUGCACCUGCAAAUCUGGUUACCAAGGCAACAGAUGCC
Long non-coding RNA from Phyllostomus discolor (pale spear-nosed bat), 412 nucleotides. RefSeq lists it as uncharacterized. The transcript has 3 exons. The record is from RefSeq and is a predicted model, not a curated record. Lineage: Eukaryota; Metazoa; Chordata; Mammalia; Chiroptera; Phyllostomidae.